CUUAACUGGAGCUGAGCUGCUGAAGACACUGUAGAAGUCAGUCCCAAAGCCACUGAAGAGGUGCCGCCUCAACUGGGUCUGGAAUCAGCGUGGGCUGCCAGAUUCUGAAAUAAUCUGAAUGAAAACACUAGCAGUCUCCAGCAACUGCCUCUCUGUUAAAAUCAGAAGCAGGAGGCCACUCUCAUCUUCCUGCCUUCUGAUCUCUCUCCAGUGUCUCCUAUUAGUAGAAUUGACCAGAAAAUCAGCAAGUGAAGGAAGCUGAGAAACAGAGUCUGCAGAUCCCCAGCCCUGCAGAGCAGAGUGGAGAAAGGCGGGUCUGGGUUGGAGAGAUGACAGGCAAAUAUCCAGGACACUCAUACAGCUGGAAAGUGAUUCGUAAUUCGGAGGCCUGAAAACUGGUCCUGACCUGAAACUUGCCUGAAAAUUCGUCGUCUGAUUCCAGCUCUUUAUUAAACUUUGCGUAUGAUCUUUCAAAAGAGAGGAGAAAUGCUCCAUAUUGAUACCAGUUCUCUGCUUCAACCCAAGAAAUCAAAGACAAAGGAGGGACAUUAAGGAGGGUAAAUUUUCUAUUACAGUAUUUUCUUGAGAUGGUUUCCAGGUUAGCUAGACAUUCUUUCUAAAUUGCAACCUUGGUCCUCUAUUUCUUUGUUAGCAUCAUGGCUGAGAAGUGAGUUUAUCUUGAGAAGACCUGUUACCUGAUAAGGGAAGGACAGGAAGGAAUAUUCUGGUCUGUCUUCAUCCUGACGUUGCUGCCACAUAAGGAUCAUGGAUGUGAAAAGCAGACUAUAGUAAGAAAGGGUGAUUCUAUAUCUCAGGACCAUGAGAAUAUUUUCUAGAAAUAGAGUAUGGGACAUGGCCAACUGUGAGGCAUUUUUCUCAACUUUACAUCCUUACUAAAAAACUUAAUGCUACCCAUUACCUACUAAAUUAACCUAGAACCCAUGGCGUGGAGUUUAAGGCCAGUGAACAACUGAUCAUGUUCUUUUCCAAUCUGGUCUACCAUUACACCAAACUCCUGCCUGCUCCAGCUUUCAGAUGUUUGUUAAACAAACAAUCCUUUUUAAGAAAACUAAACAUUGUACGGAGCUGUAAAACACAGGACAGAUAAAGGCAGGAUUGUCUGGUUAGAAAUGAUGGAGGAUCCAGAACCUGAAUGCCUUGUCUUCUUUGUGCCCUGGCCAUGGAGGCAUCUCGUCCAAAGCCCAGAUUGCUCUGGCGCUUCUAAAUGUUCCAUCUUUCCCUAAGUCUUUCACUCUGUCCUAUUGCUCAGUUGGAUGUUUUUGCUUGGCUUGCCCUUCUUCUCUAGCCCUUCCUAUUCAAACACAUCUCCAGCCUAAAUUCUACCUCUUCCAGUAAGCUCUUCAUGAUUUGCCCCUACUUGAAACCAAUCUAGACUUCCUCUGCUUUGCCAGAGCACUUGUGUUUCCAAUGGUUGUAUUCAGGGAAGGUUGCCCUACUCCUUUGCAAACUGUCUUGAAGUCAGGGACUUUUUCCACCUUAGCAUCUUCCUCAUGUCCUGCACAUAUUAAGUACUCAAUGAUGAAUUACUUUAUAAAAGAGGAGAACAUUUACCCUUAUAUAGGUUAUUGAUGGUUCUCCUCAGACAGGACAAGAUUUUCCAAAUUUUCUUCCCUAUUUCCACCAUGUGAAAUGACUUCUUCCUGCUAGGCUCUGCUCAAAUGCCGCAUCAUAAAUAAAAUUUUUCUUGAAUCUUCCUAGAUGAAAGUAAUGUCAAGUUCCCCUGAAGGCACAGUAGCACACUUUCUGUCCCUCUCUGAGGACACUGGGCUUUCUAUCACAUAUUAUACGGCCACACACAUGCUUGUUAUACACAGUUGUAAGUUACUUAAGAAAGGAUCCAUGUUCUAGAACUGUAGGAGUAUCAGAUCUUCAGUGAGACAAAGAAGGUUUCAAACCCAGGCCAUACCAGUUAAUAUCUGGGUGACGUUGAGCAAAGGACUUGACGUCUUUGAAUCUUCGUUUCCUCAUCGUAAAAUGAGUCUGAUAACAUCUCUUUCAGAGACUUUUUAGGUGAAAAUUACAUUUGAUAAGAUCAAAGAAGCUUAUAAACGUUGGGUAUUCAAAAUUAUAAAUCCCAUCUCCCAGAUUUAUCUUUGAGACUUCUCCGGAACUUAACAUGGUCCCUUGUAUAAAGUAUAUGCUCAAUUAAUUUUUGUUUGCUUGCUGAAUUGAAUUAGGCUAGUGGAAUUACUAUUCCGGGAAGUGUUGGUGAGAGUUAUGUGGAAAAAAAUGGUUCUGUUGCCAAGGGGAUUGGGAAGCAUCAAGUUGUCUCUGAAUGCAUUUUUAAAAACAGGAUUAAAAAACCCUUUCAAUAUUCAAGUGUGCAUCAUUUGGCUAUGUAUCUCUUCACAGAGAAUCUCACAGGACUAGUGUUCGUUGCAGGAGAGGUUGGGAAAUAUAGAAAUAGGUUCCUGGCCCUAGAAGGGUCGGGGAGGAAAGCCAGCCUGCCCUCAGAGUGUCUUUCUUGCCUAAGACUGACUGGCAGGUUCUGCAGAGACUCUGCAGUUGGCAUUUCCUAGGUAGAUUCAUCGUGGCCCACAGUCUGAUCUUGUAAGCUCUUGAAGGUAGCUUAUCAGCCAAAGGAUGUGGACUUUCUCUCGGGGACCGACUCACAUCAACCAAGUUUAGAGAUUUAUGAAUAAACGUUAAUCUGAAUUUCUUAAUUUGCCACGAGCAGUCUUCUUUCAGGUGGAAUGUACCAUAUGAACUGGCCCAAUUCAUAUUUUUUUUUCCCUCAUAAACUCAUCUAUAGAGAAAGUCAAACUCUAAUUGGAAGGCUUGUUGGUAAGCCUGAAUCAGAAAAAGCAGGGAAUUACUGAACUGAUUCAGCUAGACCUUCCAUCCAGCACUCCUUCCCUCUCUCCUGCUCAUCUACGCAUUCAACAAGUACUUCUUGAAAACCAACCAAGUGAGACAGUACAGCAGCCAGCUCUGGGGUGAAACAUCCUACUUUUCAAUAAUGGAUUUUCUGCUUGCUAGUCACAUGACCUUGGGGAAGUCACUUAACUUCUUAUUGCUGCAGUGUCCUCCUGUGUAAUAGCACCUACUCCAAGGGGGUUAAAGAAAUUACCAUAUGCAGAUGACUUACUACCUGACACCGAUGGUUUGCAUACCUCUUUAACAUGCACAUAGGAUAGAUAGGCUGUGCUUUCUAGUUUUUUUUUUGCACAUUGGGAAAUUGAGUUUCAAAGUGAUUAACUGCUCUGCCCUAGGUCACACCCAGUUAAUAAGUAGCAGAGUUUGUUCAAGACCAAGUAGUAAAACCUACUAUUUAUUUUAGAAAACCAUGAAUUUUUGGCAGCCUCGGGGAAGAAAUAAAACAUAAUAGUUUUGUGGGCUCUCAUUUCCCUUUUAAAAAAUUCUAAGCCUUUAGAAAUAAAGGGUGGACACUAGUUUCUUUGUUUAUCGUCAACUUUUGAUUGAUUUUGUCGUUUUCCAUAUUUCUCUGCUGUAAUUUCGGCCUCCCUCAAAUGAUGCCCAAACAAAUGAGAUCAAUUUUCGUCUGAAAUAUUUUUUUUAAAGAAAUUAUAGUCAUCCCAGACUCAUGUUCUUAGGGAGGGAACAGUACAUUUGGCAAUUUCCAUUGCUUCUGGUUGUGAUCAGAUUGAAUUUUAGGCAGUCGUCUUCAAGCUAUGCCCUAAUUAAGAUGAACAGAUAUUGUUAGCAGGCCUGUUUAAUCGGUUUCCCAUCUGGCAUAAUCAUGUUUAUGAGCAAGAUCUGCUCUUUCUUGGCUUGGGCAAUGGCUAAAAUCAACCAAACAAGGCAAUCAUGGCCGCUGAGGUAAAAACCAGGGCCCACUCUUCACCCCUAAUCCUACCUGGGAAAUCACAAUUUCAAACCUGCAGGACAAGCGUAUGGGAUACUUGCACUGCUGGAGCCCCGUUAGGUUCAUGGCAUCCAUCCAUCCAUCUAUAUUAUGCUUAUUUCCAUCCAUUCCACUCCAGUAAACAUUCUCUGAGCCCUUCAUAUGUGCUGGGCUCUCUAUGACCCAGGGCAUACUAUUAUGAAAAAGAAAGUAUUCCUGCUCUCAAGAGCUCCUGAUAUAAUAGAUAAAGUCUCAAAAACAUAAGGACUUAAGAAAUAAAGCCUAGUGCUAUUUAGGGAAGAGUGGAGUAGGAAAAGAUCUUGCAUUGAAAAUAAUUGCCUGUUCAGUUUUGCAUUCUGUCUCUGAGAAUGGUGAUUGUGCCAAAGGAGAGUGUGAAAGCUGACCUUUGUUACACUGUUUCCCCAAAGGAACAUGCCUCUGAUAAAUUAUUUGUAUCUCUAUGAUGGAUGAUGCUCUAUCGAUCUCCUGACUAAACAAAGGGCAGACGACACUGGGAGAGAGAUUUCAAGUUAACACAAGUGUGAGUGAACUGAUAUCGCUACUUUCUAUCAGGAGAACAAUUUGUGGAUGAGAAAAAUAUGUCUUUGGGGGUGGUGCCACUUAUUGCCUGUAGUCCACUCAGAUCUCAGCCAAUAUGGUAGCUCUUGUAAUGUAAACAGAUACAGGAAAGAUGCUAAAAUGCUCCUCCGUCCAAGAAUGCCCAUAACGUUAUAUUUCACAAGGGGUUUAGUCAACGUUGUGUUAAUAGGAGAUUUAUGAGACUAGACUAUGUUGUUUUAGGAAGAAAAAUGAAUAGUUGCUAAGGCGAGGUGUGCAUGCCCUUGGGAAAUUCCAUGUUACACUGGCUACAGCCCUUACUGGAGGAAAGAAUGAAAUAGAAUAGGAGUUCUCACCUUCUUUCUCUCGUUUCAGGAUCUGAGCCUUCCCUGCUCCCUGUAAGCUUGUGAAGCUUGGGCAGAGGGAAGCCUCCAUUAGCAUCUGGGCAGAGCCCAGGAGUCUAGAUUUCCUUUCUUAAGUAAAGAGGGCUGGAGUCUCAGCCGGGAAUGGGAUAGUGACACCCAUAUGGGGAGACUUGAGGUGUGGCUGCAGGAGGAAAGAGAAGAACAGGGAGCAGUAAGAGGGCCACUGAGAAGAAGGGAGAUGAGGAGCUAGGGAGUGUUUACAUGCACAACCAACAAAGACCCUAACUGUAAGCCCUCCUCUGAAGGGCACAAGUGAUUCAGAGCAAGUUACCACCUCCCGUCUCUAUUGCUUUGUGCUUGACUGAAUCAUUAUUAGUAAAAGAACUGCUUCCACUUGUGUUCAAGUUCUGUGUUUGUUUCACCUGGGGAAGUGGGUUGUGGGGUUAUUCACAAAUGGAGCUGUUCCAGAUAGCAUGUGGGACCAUUUGGUGGUACUCUGGGGGAGGCAUGGCAGGUGGAAAGGGGAGCAUCAAACUUCCCCUUGGAGUCACCUAUGUUGAGAAGACCACAGGUCAUCAGGCGUAUUCCUAGGCACUGAGAACUGCAAGGCGGAUUUCCUGGAUUUCCCUGAUGACCUCCUCUCCACCCAGAGAAAGAAAGGGGAUCCUGCCAUAUUCUGGUUACAUAAAAAAGCACUUUGUAAUGGUUCAAGUUGUUUAAGUAGGAAGUGGACCAUGGAGGAAGGAAGCGAAGUCCUUCGUGCUGGAAGUGUGUUAGCAAAUAUUGAUCAACUAAUUGGAAGGGAUAUUUGGGGUAGAGUAAGUUUAAACAUUGUUAGGGCGACCAGAAGUUCCCAAACUCAACUGCACAUCAAAAUCAGCUACUGAGCUAUUAAAAAUACAAAUGUCUGGGUCCCACCUCCAAGACUGGACACAUCAGAACAUCUGGAAGUAGAGGCAAAGAAUCUAAUUUUUUUUUUGAAGAAGAUAAGCGCCUCGCUAACAUCUGCCACUAAUCCUCCUCUUUUUGCUGAGGAAGACUGGUCCUGAGCUAACAUCCAUGUCCAUCUUCCUCUACUUUAUAUGUGGGACGCCUGCCACAGCAUGGCUUGACGAGCAGUGCAUAGGUCCACACUCAAGAUCUGAAGGGGCGAACCCCGGGUCACUGAAGCUGAACGUGCGAACCUAACUGCUGUGCCACUGAGCUGGCCCCAAGAAUCUGUAUAUUUUUUAACACAGUGAUUCUAAAACACAGCCACAUUUUAGACCCAGUGGACUAAGUGAACUUUAAGACAGAAAUCCAACUCUGAGAUUUUAUGUCUCACUUGAAAAGCAAGUGAUAUAUUGGAUCACUUUUUAAGCUCUAGUCCUUUAGUAUCUUGUAGGAAUUGGGUGAGUUUUACUGUGUGUUGAAAGACUGUCACAGUAAGAGUGGUUGCGUUUCAGUUACUACCUGCUGGGGCUGGCAGGUAGAGCUGUGAGUGACCUGGAGCGUGGGUUCCCAGAGACCUACAAAUAAGCUGAAAGAGGAUUCUGGAACCCUUCCUGGGACACUGAGAGCCAUGUACAUAACAACACCAUCUGGUACCAGUUUUCUUUCUUCCUUAUGUAGGCUGAUGUCAACAGUGAGAGAAAAAUGUAACAAUGAAGGCAAAGGUGUACAAGACAAACGAUGUAAUACAAGCAAUUCUUAACAUCAACUUUCCCAUAUUGAUGCCAGGCAAGCAAGGGGCAGAGGCCCAUACUAAUUGGCCAUUUUAUAAAUUGCCCCAGCAAAACCCUCCUCACUGAGGCUUAGUUUUAUACUUGUUACUAAAUAACCAAGGAAAGGCUUUUUAAAGACAGAUCCAGUGUGGACCCCAAAGUGACAGGGUAUAGUACUGGAUAGCAAGCUCUGGAGAUUAGCGCAUGGGGUUAAGGACUUGUUUUUGGACUCUUCUACACACUCACAUUGACCUUAGUCAUCUGGUUACAGCCCAACUUGCCUAUCAUUCUCUUGCCUCCAUGGAACCUCCUCUCCAAGCUAGCCUUCCUCAUCUACCACGUCUACUUCUCCCUUUCUAGAAAUGUUCAGUGGCUCUCUAUUGCUGAAAGGAUGAAGUUCAGCUGCUGAGUGUGGCAUGCAAGGCCCCAUGAUCUGCCCUCUGCUUGUCUCUCUAGAUUGAUCUUCU
This is a long non-coding RNA of Equus asinus (donkey), 6919 nucleotides long. The record is from Ensembl. NCBI's taxonomy places the organism in Eukaryota, Metazoa, Chordata, Mammalia, Perissodactyla, Equidae.